RNAcentral lists this long non-coding RNA (3584 nucleotides) under Pan troglodytes (chimpanzee). Its description in RNAcentral is "long non-coding RNA NONPTRT006436". Lineage: Eukaryota; Metazoa; Chordata; Mammalia; Primates; Hominidae. The record is from RNAcentral.
UUAAAAACGUUGGUGUGUGGAGUAACUUGGGCAGCUUGCUCAUGAGUGCCGUGUGCCUGUGGGCUCUUUGAUGACGUCUUCCCUGAAAACCCGGUGUUCUCUCUACGCCCCCUGCACGGGCCUCCCCCUCGGCUGAGUGUGUUUCUCUCUCAUUCCUUCCUCCUUGCGCAUCAGAAGAGCCCCUGCCAGGGGCGCCUGGCAAGUGCUGUGCCCACGUCUGCCCAGGACCCAGCCGUGUUGAGUGAAGCUCUUGGGGCCAGCGUGCGCCCUGACGCACAGGAGAGAGCUGAAGGUGACGAGGCGAGACCCCGCGCUGGACGUGGCACUCGGGUGUUGGAGUGAGGAGGUGGCGCCGUGUGCUUGAUGGUUUCCAUCAGAGAAGAGUCUGCCUUCCUCCAGAAGGAGCGGGGGAUGGUGGUUCCCCAGCCCGGAAGGAAAAGGAGCCGAGCUCUAGCUGUGAUCACGGCCUCAGUCUGCCUGCCUUUGUGCAUGGAAGGAACUUGCUAGUGACCGCUGCUCUCCUGGGCAGUGUAAGAGUGUUGUGUGGAGGCCGGGGGCGCUGGAGGCCAGUCUCGUUUUCAUAGCCCAGAUGGCUCCUGGCGCAGGUUGCAGUCACCUCCAUUACUCUUUCACGAGAGAGCUGCAGCAGUGCCAUCUGGGGCCUAGCCACACCUGGUCACUGGUGUCCCGAGGCACACGAGCAGUCCCUGCCGGAAGCUGACACACUGUCAUGGCCAAGGGCCACAGUGCAGGUACCACGGUGAUCCGGCUUCCCCGAGUCCAGCUCACGCCCGUUUUCCUUGUCUCAACCUUCAGAGCCCUUCCAAGCCCCCACUGGCUGCAGCCCACCCAGGGGACCCACCUUUAGAGGCUGGACUCAGGCUUCACUGAGGGGUGAGAAGCGCAGGUUUACAAAGCUCUGGCUGGGAAGAAAUUGAGUAACCACUCCCUCAGAAACAAAGGGAGACGUUUAAUUACAUGAACGCACACAUUUUAAAAACCGCCUGUGUGCUCCCGGAGGGCAGAGCCUGCCUCUCUGGUUAUUUUUGUGUCCUCCAUUCACUUACAGGCUGUGACAAACCCUGUGCCCACGCUGCCUCCACUGCCGGGAGACUCAGGGCUGGGGGAGACAUGCCCUGGUCACCACUGCGGAGACUCAGGGCUGGGGGAGACAUGCCCUGGCCACCAGUGGUGAGCCAGCGAGACAGGACCCCGUGCGCGCUGACCCGGGGACGCCACGGAACUUGCUCGCAAUUCCUGCUCACAGCACGUUUCCUGUUCGGAAACCAGGAGAGCCUCCACGUGCCAACUAGCUCUGUCCACACAUCCAUUGCGCAGCUCUGCAGCGGAAGGACCUUCAGUAAAGACGCUGGUUUGUAAUGAGAGAAGCGUUCCAAAGUGUCACACGACAUUGUUUAUUACUAAAAGGAGCAGAAUUUCUUUUUAAUCUUGACAGUGUUGUUUUUGUAACAGUAUGAUUUAAACUGUUUCAUUUAGGAAAACUUUUUUUCAUUUCAUAAGUAAUCAAGCUAUCUUUCCAGCUUAAAAGCAAAGAAAAAAGGCUCAGGGUAACUUUUUAAACCACUUCAUCAAUAAGAAAAGUUCUCUCUGUCAUUGCACGGCAUGAUUGUACACAGUAUUAGCAAGCAGUUCACAUGGGCCAGGGCCGACUUGGAAGGAAACACAGGUUAACACUGUUUUCUUUCCGAGUUCACAGAGAUGUUUGCAGCAGGCUCAGUUGCUUUGGCAGCUGGAGCGAGGGUGCCUCUUCCGCGUGGCUCCCCUGAGCAGAGAGGCCCCUGUGGUUUUUUUCUCCGCCGGGCUCUGGGGACAGGGUUUCUGUGGAAAUGGCAAAUGGUGCAGAUGAGCAGAGUCCUGCUAGAGAGGUCAGCUCAGCGUCCAGGAGGGGGUGCCUGCCCCCGAGGAGGCCACGGACGUGCCUGGGAAGUUGCUGCUGGAGAAGUGUGCUCUGAUGUGGCCACACUUGGGGACGCGGGCUCCCCAGAGGCCCAAGCGAGAAAGCCGGGGGUUCCCAGGCUGGGGGUGCAGGACGGGUCAGGCACUGCCCUGCAGGGCCCGCCCCCCUGCCCCUGCACCCUCACACCCAUCUUCCUCUCUCAGCCUGACCCCAGGGCCUGGGAGCCCCCGGCAGACCGGCCCUCCUUUCCAAACAGUGGCUGCCCUUUAUGGACUCGGCGCCUGGCAGAGCCACUGUGGAGGAGGAGUUGGCUGUCAUGGUCAGGGGAGGCAGCCCUUGGGUUGUCAAGGUUGGUGGUCAACGUUGAAGCCAUAUCUGCUGGAAUCUCCCGGUCUGUUCCACACACGAUCAUGCGGGAAGCUCUGGGACCCGAAGGCUGUUUUGAUCUUGGGGGUCACAAGUUCUCACAGCAGCCUGGGGUCACCAGGGAGCAGACCCGGCAUUAGCCUCUGUAAGGAGCUGCCUGGCUGCUGGGCUGAGCUUUGUUGCAGGCCCAGGAAGAUGACCAAGAAGGACAGAGCAGAGCCCCAUCCACCACUGCUGGGAGGGCCCGAGGGAGCACGUGCACAGCAGAGCCCCAUCCUCCACUCCCUGGGCUGGAAGAGGCUUCCUCGGUGUGGAUGGCAGCUGUUAACGAGCAGUGGUGGUGCAGCUGGAGGCCUCUGUCCCAUGGGGCACAGACAGGGGGGAAGGAUGGCGGACGGGUGUACAUGCUUGGGAGGACGGGCGGGCGGCAUAGGCCUGAGCAGGUGGCGUGGGCGCACGAGAAGGGUGUGUCUGACACAGGAUGUUUAUCCCAAAUGCCAGGAGUGGACGAGGCGGACGAGUGGCAGUGAGGUAGGCAUGUGAGGUUGUUGCCUGGCCCACUCUGCCGACCCCAGAAACCCAGCGGCCUGGGCCCAGCACCCGGAUACACAUGGGGUGAGCUCACGCCCACACUGUGGCCUGUGCCCGUCACGGGGCUGCUUGCUUCUCCUAGGCUUGGGAACAAGCUGGCAUGAACGCUGUGGCCGCAUUCACAGCUCAGGCACUUCCACUUUGGGUUUCAUGAAGAAACAGACUUAAAGAGCAUUUGUUCCUAAUGGGUGGGCUGAAGCUUGGGAGGAGCAUUCAGCUUCUCUCCACAGUAUGGCUUCACCUGUUCCUGAGCGCCCUACUACCCUCUUGCUAACCUGGGUGGCUGAGGUCCUCUGCUUUGGUGGCGUUGACUGCCUGUCUGCAGCCAGCGCCAGGUGCCAGCCCCUGUCUCUGCUCAUCAGGAAGCGCUGGCCUGCAGGUGCUUUGUGGUUGCCACGGACCCUUGUUCUGUCCCUUUCCAGCACCCACCCCCCACCCGCUGUGCGUUCCGUAGUUCAUUUUCAAGGCAGGGGGCACAUGGUGAAAAUACAGCCUGGCUUUUUUUCAACAAAUGCAGCUGCACUUUUCCUUGCUUGUUUUGAAGGCUGAGCCGGCAAUCUCCUUGGCACCUGGGGACAGUCGCUUCCUCAGUUUCUGCGUACCGACUGCCUCACCUGACACGCGGCCUGGGCGCGAGAGAAGCCAACCAGGUGCCUGAGUUGACUGACUGUUUACGCCCUCCAACCUCCUCCCUCCGCCCUCCAACCUC